Molecule: ribosomal RNA, 497 nt
Filed under: uncultured bacterium
Lineage: Bacteria
Description: partial 16S ribosomal RNA
Rfam family: Bacterial small subunit ribosomal RNA
Source: RNAcentral
GAUGAACGCUGGCGGCGUGCCUAAUACAUGCAAGUCGAGCGAACAGACGAGGAGCUUGCUCCUCUGAUGUUAGCGGCGGACGGGUGAGUAACACGUGGAUAACCUACCUAUAAGACUGGGAUAACUUCGGGAAACCGGAGCUAAUACCGGAUAACAUGUUGAACCGCAUGGUUCAACAGUGAAAGACGGCCUUGCUGUCACUUAUAGAUGGAUCCGCGCCGCAUUAGCUAGUUGGUAAGGUAACGGCUUACCAAGGCAACGAUGCGUAGCCGACCUGAGAGGGUGAUCGGCCACACUGGAACUGAGACACGGUCCAGACUCCUACGGGAGGCAGCAGUAGGGAAUCUUCCGCAAUGGGCGAAAGCCUGACGGAGCAACGCCGCGUGAGUGAAGAAGGUCUUCGGAUCGUAAAACUCUGUUAUUAGGGAAGAACAAAUGUGUAAGUAACUAUGCACGUCUUGACGGUACCUAAUCAGAAAGCCACGGCUAACUACGUG